UCCGGUUUGACACCGGCAGUCCCCUUAGAGUCCCCAGCAUAACCUGAUGGUAACUAAGGGCAAAGGUUUCGCUCGUUAUGGGACUUAACCCGACAUCUCACGACACGAGCUGACGACAGCCAUGCAGCACCUGUACUUGUUGUACCCCGAAGGGCCUACCCUGCUUUCACAGGGAUAAUCCAAGCAUGUCAAGCCCAGGUAAGGUUCUGCGCGUUGCUUCGAAUUGAACCACAUGCUCCACCGCUUGUGUGAGCCCCCGUCAAUUCCUUUGAGUUUUAGCCUUGCGACCGUACUUCCCAGGCGGUCCACUUAGCACUUUUGCUUCGACCGCAAAACCGUCAGAGGUCCUGCGAUCUAGUGGACAUCGUUUAGGGCCAGGACUAC
This 384-nucleotide unclassified non-coding RNA is filed under the name uncultured Tepidisphaerales bacterium. Its description in RNAcentral is "contains 16S-23S intergenic spacer region". The record is from RNAcentral. Lineage: Bacteria; Pseudomonadati; Planctomycetota; Phycisphaerae; Tepidisphaerales.